Aedes aegypti (yellow fever mosquito) is the source of this 566-nucleotide long non-coding RNA. RefSeq lists it as uncharacterized. The record is from RefSeq and is a predicted model, not a curated record. The transcript is spliced from 3 exons. Lineage: Eukaryota; Metazoa; Arthropoda; Insecta; Diptera; Culicidae.
UCAUGAUUUACGAAUCAUGAAAAUUAUAAAUUGCUCUUGGGACGAAAUCAUGAUUCAGACUCAUGAUUUUUGAAGCUGAGCUACCACUAUCAUGAUUCAGAGCAACCAUUUUCAUGAACUCCAAAUCAUGACCAUGAAAAGCGUUACGCACACGGUGCACCUGUCAAAACGUGUUUAGCAAAGCUUGUGCAAAGCAUAGUUGGCUGCGCAUUUUUUUUAAAAAAAAGUUCACUUUUAUUGCCGGUUUCCUGCGCCGCUGUUGCUCUACUGUCGUUCCUGCUCUACUAUUCCGUUCCUGCUCCGUUGAUAUCGAGCUAUUCCGGCUCUGCAGAACUACCGCCGUUUCAUUCUGUUCCUUUCCUGCCGUGGCUGUUGCCCGUUCCGGCUCCUGUGUACCCGUUCCGGCUCUGCAUUGAGGGAAAAUUCUUCCGGCUCCGCUCUACUAACUACCGCCGUUUUAUUGUCCCAGUGCCACUGUCGCCAUUCCCGCCGCGGCUGUUGCCGUCCAAUAGGUGCAUCCGUUCCGGCUCCGCAUUGAGUGACCAGCUCCGCCCUACCAACUACCG